Molecule: ribosomal RNA, 446 nt
Filed under: uncultured bacterium
Lineage: Bacteria
Description: bacterial SSU rRNA
Rfam family: Bacterial small subunit ribosomal RNA
Source: RNAcentral
GUCAAUGGGCGCAAGCCUGAGCCAGCCAAGUCGCGUGAGGGAAGACGGCCCCACGGGUUGUAAACCUCUUUUGCCGGGGAGCAAGCCUGAGUACGUGUGCCCAGGCGGAGAGUACCCGGAGAAAAAGCAUCGGCUAACUCCGUGCCAGCAGCCGCGGUAAUACGGAGGAUGCGAGCGUUAUCCGGAUUCAUUGGGUUUAAAGGGUGCGCAGGCGGGCUGUUAAGCCGGCGGUAAAAAUUCAGGGCUCAACCCUGUCGAGCCGUCGGAACUGGCAGUCUUGAGUGGGCGAGAAGUAUGCGGAAUGCGUGGUGUAGCGGUGAAAUGCAUAGAUAUCACGCAGAACGCCGAUUGCGAAGGCAGCAUACCGGCGCCCAACUGACGCUGAGGCACGAAAGCGUGGGGAUCGAACAGGAUUAGAUACCCUGGUAGUCCACGCAGUAAACGAU